Molecule: ribosomal RNA, 413 nt
Filed under: Desulfovibrio sp. AR1104/00
Lineage: Bacteria; Pseudomonadati; Thermodesulfobacteriota; Desulfovibrionia; Desulfovibrionales; Desulfovibrionaceae
Description: bacterial SSU rRNA
Rfam family: Bacterial small subunit ribosomal RNA
Source: RNAcentral
UUACGGUACCUCCAGAGGAAGCACCGGCUAACUCCGUGCCAGCAGCCGCGGUAAUACGGAGGGUGCAAGCGUUAAUCGGAAUCACUGGGCGUAAAGCGUGCGUAGGCGGCGCAGUAAGUCAGGGGUGAAAGCCCUCGGCUCAACCGAGGAAUUGCCUCUGAUACUGCUGUGCUUGAGGCUUGGAGAGGCAGGCGGAAUUCCAGGUGUAGGAGUGAAAUCCGUAGAUAUCUGGAGGAACACCGGUGGCGAAGGCGGCCUGCUGGACAAGUUCUGACGCUGAGGUACGAAAGCGUGGGUAGCAAACAGGAUUAGAUACCCUGGUAGUCCACGCCGUAAACGAUGGAUGCUAGGUGUCGGGCCGUUGGGUUCGGUGCCGUAGUUAACGCGUAUAAGCAUCCCGCCUGGGGAGUACG